This 91-nucleotide microRNA precursor is filed under the name Canis lupus familiaris (dog). RNAcentral describes it as "mir-8799 microRNA precursor family". It matches the Rfam family "mir-8799 microRNA precursor family". The record is from Rfam by way of RNAcentral. Lineage: Eukaryota; Metazoa; Chordata; Mammalia; Carnivora; Canidae. RNAcentral also lists the same sequence under 1 other name.
GGGGGGGCGCCGGUUCCUGGGCUGUGGCCCUGGCGCCCUGUGCUCCCAGGCCUGCGCUGUUGGAUUCGUGCUUCUGGCCGCGCAGCCCCCU